Molecule: long non-coding RNA, 898 nt
Organism: Pecten maximus
Lineage: Eukaryota; Metazoa; Mollusca; Bivalvia; Pectinida; Pectinidae
Exons: 2
Source: RefSeq, a predicted model, not a curated record
UGGGAAAUACACCGACAGAUUUAUAUAUAUAUUUCGAUUUUCUAGUUCCAUAGACAAACACUUUCCAAGAGCGACUUUUAACGACCAGAAUAGUGCCGAUUGUUUGACAAGAUGAAGACCGCUGUUGUGAUGUUUGUUCUUUUUACAACACUUCUAAUGUUAACUACGACAGUUUCAAGUCUUCCCGCCAAACAUAAGGUGCCAUGUCCACGCACGUGCGCGUAUUCCUAUUACGACUGCGUAGACGCAUGCCUGAAAACAGACGAAAUAAAAUACUGUAGGAGGAUAUGCAUUGGGAUGUUCAUAAGGUGUAGGCGUGGUUGUCCAAAAUACAGCUCUGACAAUCGAAUAGAUGCUGAUAACUGAUUCGGAGGAAUUACUCUGACUUUGAUGAGCGGAUUAUGCCAAGCUACCCAAGUUAAUAAUCAAUAUCAAUGAAAGAUCUCAUUUGUCAACUACGGAUAUAUACCGAAGGCUGAAUGAAGACACACCAUUGUUUUGGAUGAAAGAGUUUAACGACAGUGAUCAACAACUCAAAGAGGUCGUGAAUGUUAUACCUGAUGUUUCAUAAUUUGUAAAACUGACAAACUGUGAUUUUGUAAUUUGCUAAAACAAGGUUUACAUUGAUAGAAUGGGAAUAUAUGAUAUGUAGUCUAUAAGGAAUUAUCCGAAAGAUCUGAGGUAUCAAGCAUACAUUUCUAGCAUAUUCAGAACACAUACAUUGCUAGUUAUGAUAUAUCUUUUCAUAUGUUCAUGUGAUAGUUCUAUGUUAUGUAAAUUUGUGCUAUUUAUUAUUUGAUAUUUGUUCGAUUUGAAAUCCAUACUCCUUUUUUGUGCAAUACAAAUCAAAUGUUCAAACAUGUGCUGUAAAAUACCACAAUAAAACUAGAAAUUUUAA